The sequence is a regulatory RNA element, 101 nucleotides long. It matches the Rfam family "Purine riboswitch aptamer". Rfam says of the family: Riboswitches are metabolite binding domains within certain messenger RNAs that serve as precision sensors for their corresponding targets. Allosteric rearrangement of mRNA structure is mediated by ligand binding, and this results in modulation of gene expression. The record is from Rfam.
AUCGAACAAAAUAUAGAUCCUCAUAUAAAACUGAGAAUACGGCUCAGAAGUUUCUACCCAGCACCGUAAAUGACUGGACUAUGAGGGAAGUAGAAUCGUUG